AUUCAGACGAUUGUCCAAUCUGCCGCUAGAUGGUGUUGGUAUUGUUUAUAAAAAUGGCGAACUGUGUGUAGACUGCUGUAUCCGAAUUUUCAUGUUUUUACCAAGUCAACCAAUUAAGGCAAUUAUUUACAUAAAAUGUACCUGCCGUCUAGUCAUUAGAUUAAAUUUGGCCCCUGUUGUAAGAAAAAAUUACUCAAAACUUCCUUAACUCACACCCUCUGCAUCAUCCUCUCACAUCUUAGACAAAACUUCGAGCUGUUUUUUCCCAAAAGCUGUGGCAUUGGAUGUAUGGUUACAGGUUUGUUCUUGCCUGAAGAUGUUUACACCUUUGAACACUUGGUGAUGUUGUUGUGUCAUGAAAUUGUAUUGCUGCCAUUCCCUGCAUCUCCCAAUUCACAGCUACAAGAAAUGAGUAAUAGGAAGCCUACAACAGAUUGAAGAAAAGGAAUUCAUAGGUUUUGUGGUACCGGAAUGCCAUUGAAUCCAUUGGAUUUCGCGAUUCAGCCGCCGAUGUAAAUCUACAACGCAGUUUCUUUAUUGGAAUUGUGUGGUCCUGGCACAGAGAUCCUUGAUGCUGGCCUUUGUCCAUAACAGAAGAGGACUUCUACCAACUUUCUGCUCCAUCCUUAUCUUCGCUACCCAAACUCAUCUAGCUUCUCUGCAUAUUAUGCUGCUAAACAAUUUGUCGUACUUCACUGACGAGUUAGACCAGUCGCUUCCGUCCGCAGAACACACCUACUGUCACUCACCACAGGAUUAUGCCCAGGUAAUGCAGAUGAGAUAUCAAGAAGAUGGAAUUCCGAGACUCGUCAUCAACGUGGAUCAUCGCGACCGGCACCAAGAUUCGUCAUCAACGCGGAUCAUCGUAUUGUUGGUAUUGUUUCGUUAUGUGUUAGUUAAGCCGUUGGCUGCCACGCCUUUGUUCUCCCCUAGCUCCUUAGCACGGGCCUCCUAGAGGCCUCCUAAAGCCGUGCAUUCCAUCCUCCCUUGUCACCUUGUCAGCCCGGACUUGUCAGCAAUGGCAAGUCCCACCUUGGCCAUGGAUCCUUCAGACGUGGCGCGUAGAGAGUAGAAAACAACCUACGGGUUGUAUGGCGUGGCAGCCAACGGGUUAACUUAAGUGUAUGUGUGUGUAAAUGUGUACGUAAUUAUGUCAUGUUAUGUUUGUAAAAAGUGGAGGAAUUGUGGGUGGAGGUGGGACAAUAUAAGCAAUUCCUUA
Daphnia pulex (common water flea) is the source of this 1219-nucleotide long non-coding RNA. RefSeq lists it as uncharacterized. The record is from RefSeq and is a predicted model, not a curated record. The transcript has 5 exons. Lineage: Eukaryota; Metazoa; Arthropoda; Branchiopoda; Diplostraca; Daphniidae.